This is a non-coding RNA of Plenodomus lindquistii, 109 nucleotides long. The record is from the annotation of a GenBank genome assembly. Lineage: Eukaryota; Fungi; Ascomycota; Dothideomycetes; Pleosporales; Leptosphaeriaceae.
GUCUCGUUGGUGUAGUUGGUUAUCACGUGGGUCUCAUAUCAUCAUGUAAUGUAUGACUGCUCCUAGAGUAGAAAUCCCAAGGCCGCCAGUUCGAGUCUGGCACGGGACA